AUUCGGGGGUGUGGAAGGAAAGAGGAACACCACCCUCUGCCUUCCUCCUCAAAAGUUUCUUGUGAGGGAAGUUAGGGGUGGUUAUGGGCCAGUGGUGUGUAAAGCAGUCUCAGUUCUCUUUACAAAACAAACUGGGAAACACCCAUUCCUCCCCAAACUUGUGAUGCUCUAAGUCACACAGGAACAAUUGUUACCCCUAACUGAGAACAUGGUGCUUCAAGAGACUGCCAGUAGGAUUCCAUAUCAGUACUUUAGGCAGAGAGAAGUCUCGGUCCCAGUUAGCAUGAAAAAAAAAAAACUACAUUUUCAGAUUCCAUAACAAGUUUAUUGGAGUAUUCUUCACCAAAAUGAAUGGCAAGUGUCCGGAAGAAGAUGAUGACAGAUGCCCAUAGGAAAAUAAAGAUGCUUCCAACC
RNAcentral lists this long non-coding RNA (414 nucleotides) under Mus musculus (house mouse). Its description in RNAcentral is "long non-coding RNA chr1:138261647-138262061". The record is from RNAcentral. Lineage: Eukaryota; Metazoa; Chordata; Mammalia; Rodentia; Muridae.